UACGGGGGGAGCAAGCGUUGUUCGGAUUUACUGGGCGUAAAGGGCGCGUAGGCGGUCAGCACAAGUCAGUUGUGAAAUCUCCGGGCUUAACCCGGAAAGGUCAACUGAUACUGUGCGACUAGAGUGCGGAAGGGGCAACUGGAAUUCUCGGUGUAGCGGUGAAAUGCGUAGAUAUCGAGAGGAACACCUGUGGCGAAAGCGGCGCACUGGACCACAACUGACGCUGAGGCGCGAAAGCGUGGGGAGCGAACGGG
This 254-nucleotide ribosomal RNA is filed under the name uncultured bacterium. RNAcentral's name for it is "partial 16S ribosomal RNA". It matches the Rfam family "Bacterial small subunit ribosomal RNA", at positions 524 to 776 of the family's 1533-position model. The record is from RNAcentral.